GUGACGUGGAGCAAACCUCCAGAAAGCCAAUCUCAGUUCGGAUUGUAGGCUGCAACUCGCCUACAUGAAGUUGGAAUCGCUAGUAAUCGCGAAUCAGAAUGUCGCGGUGAAUACGUUCCCGGGUCUUGUACACACCGCCCGUCACACCACGAGAGUUUACAACACCCGAAGUCAGUGGCCUAACCGCAAGGAGGGAGCUGCCUAAGGUGGGGUAGAUGAUUGGGGUGAAGUCGUAACAAGGUACC
Molecule: ribosomal RNA, 245 nt
Filed under: uncultured bacterium
Lineage: Bacteria
Description: partial 16S ribosomal RNA
Rfam family: Bacterial small subunit ribosomal RNA
Source: RNAcentral